UUACCUGUGUAUCAGAUCCAAGCUGAGUUCCAUAAGUUACCUGUGUAUCAGAACUAAGCUGAGUCCCAACCAUAUCCUUCUUCCCAGAUCCAUCACCACCCCGGGCAGAUCCCUUGGCGUCACCCUGAAAAUUCAUGACAGCUAUCACCACAUGGAUAACUAAACGAAGUUAAAAGGAGCAGUAGAUGAUGUGAAGUAAAAUGCUGAUAUACAUACCUCCAACUGUAACAUCAUAGCCAUUCCACGAAAUGAUCAAACAAAAAACAAAAAAGAGUGUUAAUAGUCAGGUUGAAGCCAAUCACUCGUUUAAAACUUCAAAGUUGAAUAAAUGCGAAUUUCUGAAUAGCAACCAAAGAGAGGUCAAAUGAACUAGUGAAACACAGAACAAACAAGUUGAUUCCUUUUCCUUUUUUUUCCUUAACUUUACCAGGCCUAACAGCGAACAAAUGCGGUAACAGUAAUGGCUCAAAUUUCAGGAGGAAAAAAAAGGACAUGAGAGAUUUGCAACUACCUCUCUGUACCUAGCCAAAUAGGCCUUGAGUGGAGCAAUGUAAUCUUCAAAACCUAAAGUUGCCAUUGCCCAGAGCAAAUCAUCCCCAUUAACAGUUUUCCUUUUCUCUUUUUGACACUUGUCGCUUGCUCUACACA
Molecule: long non-coding RNA, 648 nt
Filed under: Olea europaea (common olive)
Lineage: Eukaryota; Viridiplantae; Streptophyta; Magnoliopsida; Lamiales; Oleaceae
Description: long non-coding RNA (OEUR_LNC002080)
Source: RNAcentral